GUAAAUCCCCUUCCCUAUAGUGACCCUUUAAUGUUAUUAUUUUGUCAUUUAUAUAGCACCAGCAAAUUCCAUAGCACUGUACAAUGGGAUAAACAACUCCUAGUUUACGGAAUAAAAAUAUACACGGCGAGUAAAAAUGUUAUCCCCCCCAGAUUUUUUGAGGUUCCUACGCCCAUGCCUCCUUGUUGUGACUCUCCUAACCAGGUUAUAUAAUGGCAAAUAUCCAUGGUUCAAGAUCCUGUUUGCCAAAUAAAUAAUACAUAAAAAAGAAAAG
Non-coding RNA from Pelobates cultripes (western spadefoot toad), 274 nucleotides. Lineage: Eukaryota; Metazoa; Chordata; Amphibia; Anura; Pelobatidae. The record is from the annotation of a GenBank genome assembly.